GACAGAGGCCUCGAGCGUUAGGCGGAAUCACUGGGCUUAAAGCGUGUGUAGGCGGACCUCUAAGUACCUUGUGAAAUCCCACGGCUCACCCGUGGAACCGCUGGGUAUACUGGGGGUCUUGGGCCAUUCAGGGGCGACUGGAACAAGCGGUGGAGCGGUGAAAUGCGUAGAUAUCGCUUGGAACGCCGAAGGUGAAAACAGGUCGCUGGGGACGCGCCGACGCUGAGACACGAAAGCCAGGGGAGCAAACGGG
Molecule: ribosomal RNA, 253 nt
Filed under: uncultured bacterium
Lineage: Bacteria
Description: partial 16S ribosomal RNA
Rfam family: Bacterial small subunit ribosomal RNA
Source: RNAcentral